This 334-nucleotide unclassified non-coding RNA is filed under the name uncultured fungus. RNAcentral's name for it is "sequence contains ITS2". Lineage: Eukaryota; Fungi. The record is from RNAcentral.
AACGCACAUUGCGCCUCCUGGUAUUCCGGGAGGCACGCCUGUUCGAGCGCCAUUACACACUCCAAGCUCUGCUUGAUGUUGAACAAUGCGGAGCGCCCUUGGGGGCGACUGCACGUUCGGAACGAGUGGGCGUCCGGUCUGUCGAGAAACCACGAGCGUAGCAAGACUUGCGCAAGCUGUCAAUUCGCUCGAUUGGGGCUCCAGCGGAUGGUCUGCAGAGAGGCACGCACGACGCGACCUUCCUCUUUCUUGGGAGAGUGGGCGAGUGGUGGGUGUGUCGACGCACAAUAACGAGUUUGGCCUCGGAUCAGGCGGGGAUACCCGCUGAACUUAA